RNAcentral lists this ribosomal RNA (253 nucleotides) under uncultured bacterium. Its description in RNAcentral is "partial 16S ribosomal RNA". It matches the Rfam family "Bacterial small subunit ribosomal RNA", at positions 524 to 776 of the family's 1533-position model. The record is from RNAcentral.
UACGGGGGGGGCAAGCGUUGUUCGGAAUUACUGGGCGUAAAGGGCGCGUAGGCGGCCUGCUAAGUCGGAUGUGAAAUCCCUCGGCUCAACCGAGGAACUGCAUCCGAUACUGGCGGGCUUGAGUCCGGGAGAGGGAUGUGGAAUUCCAGGUGUAGCGGUGAAAUGCGUAGAUAUCGGGAGGAACACCAAUGGCGAAGGCAGCUUGCUGGGACGGUACUGACGCUGAGACGCGAAAGCGUGGGGAGCAAACAGG